GAGGGGGAAGGGGAAUUGUAUAUCGACUCACCAUCGGGCGAAUUGAGGCCCGCCGUCGGCAGGUCCCCGCCGCCGUGGCGGGGGCGGGAAUUUUUUUUGGAGUUUGAUCCUGGCUCAGAACGAACGCUGGCGGGAGGCUUAACACAUGCAAGUCGAACGCCCUCUUCGGAGGGAGUGGCAGACGGGUGAGUAACACGUGGGAACCUACCUAGGGGUACGGAAUAACUCGGGGAAACUCAUGCUAAUACCGUAUACGACCUUCGGGUGAAAUAUUUAUCGCCCCUAGAUGGGCCCGCGCUGGAUUAGCUAAUUGGUGGGGUAAAAGCCUACCAAGGCGACGAUCCAUAGCUGGUCUGAGAGGAUGAUCAGCCACACUGGGACUGAGACACGGCCCAGACUCCUACGGGAGGCAGCAGUGGGGAAUCUUGGACAAUGGGCGCAAGCCUGAUCCAGCCAUGCCGCGUGAGUGAUGAAGGCCCUAGGGUUGUAAAGCUCUUUCGCCAGGGAAGAUAAUGACGGUACCUGGAUAAGAAGCCCCGGCUAACUCCGUGCCAGCAGCCGCGGUAAUACGGAGGGGGCUAGCGUUGUUCGGAAUUACUGGGCGUAAAGCGCACGUAGGCGGCUAUCCAAGUUGGGGGUGAAAUCCCUGGGCUUAACCCAUGAACUGCCUUCAAAACUGGAUGGCUAGAGUCCGAGAGAUGUGAGUGGAAUUUCCAGUGUACAGGUGAAAUUCGUAGAUAUUGCAAAGAACACCAGUGGCGAAGGCGGCUCACUGGCUCGGUACUGACGCUGAGGUGCAACAGCGUGGGGAGCAAUAGGAUUA
This 823-nucleotide ribosomal RNA is filed under the name uncultured bacterium. RNAcentral describes it as "bacterial SSU rRNA". The stretch from base 92 to 823 matches the Rfam family "Bacterial small subunit ribosomal RNA", at positions 1 to 780 of the family's 1533-position model. The record is from RNAcentral.